Molecule: unclassified non-coding RNA, 399 nt
Filed under: Hevea brasiliensis (rubber tree)
Lineage: Eukaryota; Viridiplantae; Streptophyta; Magnoliopsida; Malpighiales; Euphorbiaceae
Source: RNAcentral
ACUAGGCUGACCAAUCAAAGCAUAUUGAUAAUCAUCAUCAAUAUAUAAAACCCAAUAAUCACCAACAAUAGGAAUAAUUGGCAAGAAAGGUGGGAUAUAAAAUUUCACUUUAAGUUUUGCUUCAUCACUUUUUGGAUCAGCUUUAUAGGCAGUCCCUUCAAUUGAACCUCUUUUACCACCACUCCAUGUUUCAUUUAACACAUGUACUGUUCCAUCUUGGUUUAAAGUGUAAGUGGCUCUUGUGUUUACACCAUCUUUUGGUUGAUUUCUUGAUGGAAAUGAGGCAAUUUCAUACCAUCUUCCCAUGUAUUUUUCAACAUCCAAAUUCUUCACUACUUCCAUCUCUUUUGUGGUCAUAUUUUUUUGCAAAAUUUCAAAGUGUAGUAUAAGGGUUUUGGU